This 253-nucleotide ribosomal RNA is filed under the name uncultured bacterium. RNAcentral describes it as "partial 16S ribosomal RNA". It matches the Rfam family "Bacterial small subunit ribosomal RNA", at positions 524 to 776 of the family's 1533-position model. The record is from RNAcentral.
UACAGAGACCUCAAACGUCGUCCGGAUUUACUGGGCGUAAAGGGUUCGUAGGCGGUUCGUUAAGUCUGAUGUUAAAGAUCGGGGCCUAACCCUGGGAGUGCAUUGGAUACUGGCGGACUGGAGUGCAGUAGAGGCGAGUGGAAUUCCCAGUGUAGCGGUGAAAUGCGUAGAUAUUGGGAAGAACACCGGUGGCGUAAGCGACUCGCUGGGCUGUAACUGACGCUGAGGAACGAAAGCUAGGGGAGCAAACAGG